CCUACGGGAGGCAGCAGUGGGGAAUAUUGCACAAUGGGGGAAACCCUGAUGCAGCGACGCCGCGUGAGUGAAGAAGUACUUCGUUAUGUAAAGCUCUAUCAGCAGGGAAGAAAAUGACGGUACCUGAGUAAGAAGCCCCGGCUAACUACGUGCCAGCAGCCGCGGUAAUACGUAGGGGGCAAGCGUUAUCCGGAUUUACUGGGUGUAAAGGGAGCGUAGACGGCGCGCCAAGUCUGGAGUGAAAUGCCGUAGCUUAACUGCGGGACUGCUUUGGAAACUGGCGAACUAGAGUGCGGGAGGGGUAAGCGGAAGUCCUAGUGUAGCGGGGAAAUGCGGAGAUAUUAGGAGGAACACCGGUGGCGAAGGCGGCUUACUGGACCGUAACUGACGUUGAGGCUCGAAGGCGUGGGGAGCAAACAGGAUUAGAUACCCUAGUAGUC
RNAcentral lists this ribosomal RNA (440 nucleotides) under uncultured bacterium. RNAcentral's name for it is "partial 16S ribosomal RNA". It matches the Rfam family "Bacterial small subunit ribosomal RNA", at positions 338 to 795 of the family's 1533-position model. The record is from RNAcentral.